Long non-coding RNA from Culex quinquefasciatus (southern house mosquito), 4676 nucleotides. RefSeq lists it as uncharacterized. The record is from RefSeq and is a predicted model, not a curated record. NCBI's taxonomy places the organism in Eukaryota, Metazoa, Arthropoda, Insecta, Diptera, Culicidae. The transcript is spliced from 3 exons.
GAGAACCAUAUUAUCCAAGACAUGAACCAAACUUGUGCGAUACACGUUUCUGGAAGAAUACCGAAUAAGUAAAGAGUUUAAAUUAAGUUUAGUGACCCAUUUUUCCACAACGUGUCCCAUUUCUUAUUAAAUCUCCUGCAACGUGCCAAAUUUGUUUAUUUUCGUUUUUUUUAAGUUGCCUUCAGUUUCGAUUGUAGUUUUUAGUUACUGCCGAUUUUUCUUUUAUAAGAAUCUAAGAAUUUCCAAAAAAAUAAGAAUUUUUAGUGAUUAAAAAGAAAUUACAAGCUGGGCGUGCAAAUUUGAGUAUGUUCGCCUCGUUCCUCUUCAACAUAAGUUCUAUCUUUGGCCUUUCUACAACUCCACGGCAGUUCCGUCAUCGGAAAAUCACCCUUGGGUACCUGUUUGGAGGGUCCCGUGGCAUAAUCGAUACGCGUUGGCGAGGACACCACCAAAGAGAAAAAAACCCCAAUUAAACAUGCUGCACAAAGACUAGUUUUGGUCAAGCCCCUACUAGCUGCUUCUCCAACACUGUAACCAGGAUAUUGUCCACGAGAAGCUCAACAAGGACUCGUGUUCGAUCUUGCCGGAAACAUGCACCAAGACUGCUAGGACCUGAGAAAGUCCAAGUAUGACGGCGCAACUGAAUACCAGUUAUCCGGCGCCCCAACGUCAACAACCAUCGCAAAAAGGUAAAAAAAACCUCUUGCCUCGGAAACCAUUUCCACCUGCAAAAACUGAAUCAUAUUAGUGUUUCCAGCACAUAAAUUUGGACGUUUUUCGAUCGGCAAGGAGUAAACACCCGUUGUAAACAACUUACUUUAGCUACUAAAUCAGGAUCAGCAGCUAACGGGCAACAUCCCGGAUCCCGGCGCUAAGUCACAAGCAAGUGCAUUUCAGCUUCCGGAAUCUAUUUUGAAAUAGAAUGGUGAAAAUUCCAAAUUAUUUUACCCGGCUUCAUUUUUAAACUUACAUUUUGAAAUAAGCUGAACCAGAAUCAAUUCCUCAAGACUUCUGGUCGUAUGCUGUUUCUUGUUUCCACACCUUGCAAUCGGGAAUGGGAACGGGUUUCGGAACACCGACCAGAAGUGUCCCCACUAUCGAUACAGAUUGCCAAUGUUACCAUGAAAGUGGUCCGCCGGAAAGAAACUUACAUUUCCGAGCAACCGAACUGACCCGCAGCUGCUCAUAAUUGUUUUGAUUUUGCUAGCUGUCAAUCACAAAAGCAAGCAAAACAAUUGAGAUUUUAUAUUAUUUUAGCAUUUACAUGAAACGUUUUUAGAUGUUUUUCACAGUUUACAUGUUUUUCAUCCAUUCAAAUUUGUCGGUUUUCGUAAAAAAACAAUUCAUUUACACGAGAUUUACCGAUUACGUACAAUCUAAUUUUACAUGAUGGGUGUUUAAAUGGCAUUUAACCAUUUACAUCGGAUUUCAAAUUUACAUGAAGCGAGUUUACGUCUAAAACAAAGUUUCUGUGUCGGGUAAUUUUACACUUUUUUUCUGUGAAUGACAAAUCUUGUUAUUAGGAGAGUUUUUGAAAUGUAUAAAUGUAGCCUUCCAAAGUUGGCGAAAAAGUUCGGUCCACCGGUGGACGGAUUGCGGCACAAGGAUGCAAGAGGAAUCCGUCCGCCGGUUGACGGAUUGCCUGCACAAGGUUUUGCAAGAGGAAUCCGUCCACCGGUGGACGGUUUGCCUUCCAAUGUUGGUGAAAAAGUUCGGUCCACCGGUGAACGGAUUACGGCACAAGGAUGGAUGCAAGAGGAAUCCGUCCGCCGGUGGACAGAUUGCCAUCCAAUGUUGGUGGAAAAGUUUGGUCCACCGGUGGACGGAUUACGGCACAAGAAUGCAAGAGGAAUCCGUCCGCCGGUGGACAGAUUGCCAUCCAAUGUUGGUGGAAAAGUUCGGUCCACCGGUGGACGGAUUACGGCACAAGGAUGCAAGAGGAAUCCGUCCGCCGGUGGACGGAUUGCCAUCCAAUGUUGGUGGAAAAGUUCGGUCCAUCGGUCGACGGAUUACUGGACAAGGACGCAAGAGGAAUCCGUCCGCCGGUGGACGGAUUGCCUUCCAAUGUUGGUGAAAAAGUUCGGUUCACCGGUGGAUGGAUUACUGGACAAGGAUGCAAGAGGAAUCCGUCUGCCGGUGGACGGAUUGCCUUCCUAUGUUGGCGAAAGGGUUCGGAGAAUUCUUUCCACCGGUGGACAGGUUUCGGCAAAAAUGAGAAGAGCUUUCGGAUAGGCGUUGGAUGGAUUUUUAUGGGUUAAACCCAGGGCGUGACAAUAGUAAAAAAUUAAAUAAUUUAAUUAAUUAACUGCAGAAAUUAACGAAUUAACUUUUGUUUCCGAUCAUAACAUCGCCACCUCUCUUUACAUCACAUUGGUUUGCCGAUGACGUGUGACAGUUUGACAUCUCGUGUAAUUGUUGUUGUUGCGUUUGGUGGAAUAUUUUUAUUUUUAUCUUCAAAAAGAAAAUGGCUGGCCCGUACACUGGAUCCGUUAGGAAAGGACACCGAGUUCAGGAAACCUGUUGUAGCUGGCAAGUCCAAAGCAUCGUUUCGGUUUUCAAUCAGCUGAAAACUCGUCGGAACUAAGCAAGUGGACGGAUUCGGUUGAUAAAAAGAAGCGAGGUGAUUCCGGAAGUGGUGGAGGAUGACUGCGAACUUGAAGCGAAAAAGGUAGUAAUUUAUACGAGGGUGGACAACACAAUGUCAUUCCACCCUAAGAUCGAUCCGCCGUCAGGAGAACAGGUCGUGCCUCAACGACACACAUCUGGUGCGGGGCGUACAAGCCUGAACCUGAACCUGAACGGCUACAACGCGAUCUUUAACAAAAUGGUCGUGCACCUGUAAAGUGUCCUCGUGUCAAUGGAACGAUGUUCUUCUGCGACACUGGGUACAACUUCCAGCAAUUCCGCUCCUGGUGUACAGCUUGGUGGUCCAAAUGCUGACAACUCGUGCCAUUAGAUUUGGUCAGAUUCGAUUACCAUUACCGACCGAUGUUCGCUCGAUGGAGGAUUCAGAAGACUGGACGUGUUACGGUUCAGCUGCGGAUGCUACGUGCCGGAGAAAAAAAAGUGAUUUGUUGAUUGUGACAACUCGGCUCUGGGGGUUUCAGCGUCGGCCUUCUACAAGGGCAAGCAUAAGAUGCUGGCCAGGUUGGCGAACGAGACUAACAACGCGCCGCCAAAGUACUUUAGAAGACUAAAAGAGCACGAAGCUGCUGCUGAACAUCGAGUGUUUCAUGAAUGAGAUUAACGUGUCCCCGCCGUUGCAACGACAGAUCAUGGAGCAGAUGUGCGCGGGUCUACUGCAGCGCAUCGCGGCCAGCAUUAAGAAGUUGCUGGUAGAUUCAAAGCUGACCCCGGAGGAAAUACACGUGAGCCUGAGUUUACCUAUAGCAACGUGGAGCCCUACUCAAAGUUUUUUGGUGAAUAGUCCACCACCAAACCUGUGAAAAACGGGACCCGAACCCCGACCCGCUCACCAACCCUGAUCCGACCGGCACAACUCGUCAGUAACGUCGGCCAGAUUGUCAUCACAAGCAGUCCUACCACCCAGUCGCCGUCUACUUCGACCGCCCUGAGCUGGAAUAGUCGUCGAGCGGACUCAAAAUCCACGUCUCUCAAACCCACUCCAAUCCGGCCAUCGUAUUAUCGCGCCAGAUCCAUGAGCAGCAGCAGCUUUGCAACAAUACUCUCCCCCGCCAAGCGACGCACCAGCCGAAGUUGUAGUGGCCGCCACCACUGAUUUAUUUGAUUAGAAAUACCCACCUGCGUUGCGAGCCGAACAUUCUCCAGAGGUAGCGGAGGAAGAACCUGCCAAACCGGAGUUCUUCGAAAAGAACAAAGCAACCGUCGCCAAGAUGGAACCCGAGUUUAGAAGUUCGUCCAAGGUGAGCCUCCUUGAGAACCUCUGCCGAAGGAACCGAAUCCAGUUCCAACCUAGGUUCCAACGCACAGUAAUUAUACCAGCUGAUCGCCGUGCCGGCGGAAACUUCGACGGACCUGCGAUCGUGCUGAUUGUGGAAGCAUAAACACAAGCAGAUCAUUCUUUAUUUAUUGUUUCAAUUCCAACAACUCAAAGCCAAAAGUACCUACAUGCAGCUGAAUAAAAAAAAACGAAAUAAAUAAAUAAUUAUUGCACUUAUUUUUUUUUAUUUGCUAUUAGCAUCGACCUUUUUCGGGGCAAAAACGACAGUGCAACCGCCCAUCGAUGUGGCUACGGGGAAUUCCCUUGUUCAAAGAAACCGCAGCCCAUGUCGUCCUCGCAUUCGGGCUAUUCCAUCUUCUAAUCCUUUUUCUUCUCCUCGGCGGCAAUGACGGGCACAGCACCACCGGACGACAUCGAGGACUGGUUCUCGCGGCCGGAAGCGAUCAGUUUCUCGAUGACCUCCUUGUUGAUGCGGGUUGAGUCAGCCUCGAGACCGACCGAGCGGCAUUUCGAAACCUUUUGUAGCUACCAGCAACCGAAAUUUACUAAUUCCUUUCGGAAACAUUCGCGAAAAUAAAUUAAAAACAAUAACAAAUGACCGGCAUCUCCUCAUUUUUGAGCAAGAGCAAAUCAAUACAAACUUGACAGGCGGGUGUGCGAAGGAGACGCAAAACAAAUCAAUGUUUUCGACAAAGCAAAUAUAUUAAGGCCAGUUUCGCGCCCCUCGAUCCAGGGUUAAACUAAUAUUGACUUU